CAGUCAGGACCUAAGCCGAGGCCGAAAGGCGUAGGUGAUGGACAACAGGUUGAUAUUCCUGUACCACCAAUAACCGUUUGAGAAAUGGGAUGACACAGAAGGAUAAGCUAACCGCACUGUUGGUUAUGUGCGGGCAAGUAUUGAGGCAGUUCUGGUAGGCAAAUCCGCCAGAAUAAUGCUAGGGUACGAUGCGGAGCGAAAUUUAGUAGCGAGGUAGCUGAUUUCACACUGUCGAGAAAAGUCUCUAUCGAGGUUAAAGGUGCCUGUACCGCAAACCGACACAGGUGGGUGAGGAGAGUAUCCUAAGGCCAGCCAGAGAACUGUUGUUAAGGAACUCGGCAAAAUGACCCCGUAACUUAGGGAGAAGGGGUGCCUUCGAAAGAAGGCCGCAGAGAAUAGGCCCAAGCGACUGUUUACCAAAAACAUAGGUUUCUGCUAAGUCGCAAGACGAUGUAUAGGAGCUGACGCCUGCCCGGUGCUGGAAGGUUAAGGGGAUCUGUUAGAGCAAUCGAAGCAGUGAACUUAAGCCCCAGUAAACGGCGGCCGUAACGAUAACGGUCCUAAGGUAGCGAAAUUCCUUGUCGGGUAAGUUCCGACCCGCACGAAAGGCGUAACGAUUUGGGCACUGUCUCAACAACAGACUGGGUGAAAUUGUAAUACCGGUGAAGAUGCCGGUUACCUGCGACAGGACGGAAAGACCCCAUGGAGCUUUACUGUAGCUUGACAUUGAGUCUCGGUGCUACAUGUACAGGAUAGGUGGGAGGCUAUGAAGCAUGGACGUCAGUUUGUGUGGAGCCAUCCUUGGGAUACCACCCUUGUAGUACUGGGAUUCUAACCAGCUGCCUUGAAUCAGGUAGUGGGACACUGUCAGGUGGACAGUUUGACUGGGGCGGUCGCCUCCUAAAGAGUAACGGAGGCGCUCAAAGGUUCUCUCAGUACGGUCGGAAAUCGUACGUAGAGUGUAAAGGCAGAAGAGAGCUUGAUUGCAAGACAUACAGGUCGAGCAAGGACGAAAGUCGGACUUAGUGAUCCGGUGGUACCGCAUGGAAGGGCCAUCGCUCAACGGAUAAAAGCUACCCUGGGGAUAACAGGCUGAUCUCCCCCAAGAGUCCACAUCGACGGGGAGGUUUGGCACCUCGAUGUCGGCUCAUCACAUCCUGGGGCUGUAGUAGGUCCCAAGGGUUGGGCUGUUCGCCCAUUAAAGUGGUACGCGAGCUGGGUUCAGAACGUCGUGAGACAGUUCGGUCCCUAUCCGUCGCAGGCGUAGGAAAUUUGAGGAGACCUGUCCUUAGUACGAGAGGACCGGGAUGGACGUACCGCUGGUGUACCAGUUGUUCUGCCAAGGGCAUAGCUGGGUAGCUAAGUACGGAAAGGAUAAGCGCUGAAAGCAUCUAAGCGCGAAGCCUACUUCGAGAUAAGAUUUCCCACCGCAAGGUUAAGACCCCAUGAAGCCUACUGGUU
RNAcentral lists this ribosomal RNA (1461 nucleotides) under metagenome. Its description in RNAcentral is "bacterial LSU rRNA". It matches the Rfam family "Bacterial large subunit ribosomal RNA", at positions 1381 to 2854 of the family's 2925-position model. The record is from RNAcentral.